RNAcentral lists this ribosomal RNA (394 nucleotides) under Badhamia albescens. Its description in RNAcentral is "SSU rRNA". It matches the Rfam family "Eukaryotic small subunit ribosomal RNA", at positions 76 to 405 of the family's 1831-position model. The record is from RNAcentral. Lineage: Eukaryota; Evosea; Eumycetozoa; Physariida; Physaraceae.
UCUCUCUGAAUCUGCGAACGGCUCCGCAUACCAGUUGUAAACCAUAGCGAGCAAACCGUGACGGCGUCGCAAGGCAUCGUCGCGGUUAAUAAGGAUAACCCUGGUAAUUCUGAGGCUAAUACAAGAACGUACAACCCGCCCGACCCGCAAGGGAAGGGGGGGGAAUGUGUGACCAGGCACGCAAAUUCGAAACUGGGAGUGGCCACACGUUCAGACCGCCAUACCAAACAGUCGCUCGCUUCGAAAGUCCUCGUGACGAGUAGCGGUGGGUUUCUGGGCGGCUCUCGCUGUGUGCUUCUGACCUAUCAACUAGAUGGCAGCGUAACGGACAUGCUAUGGUGACAACGGGUACAGAGGAUAAGGGUUCGAUCCUGGAGAGUGGGCCUGAGAGAUU